GCACUUCUGAGGAAUCUCAUAAUAGGACGAAACGGCCUUCCAGUGC
This is a non-coding RNA of Schistosoma mansoni, 46 nucleotides long. The record is from Rfam. Lineage: Eukaryota; Metazoa; Platyhelminthes; Trematoda; Strigeidida; Schistosomatidae.